RNAcentral lists this ribosomal RNA (107 nucleotides) under uncultured bacterium. Its description in RNAcentral is "partial 16S ribosomal RNA". It matches the Rfam family "Bacterial small subunit ribosomal RNA", at positions 1375 to 1482 of the family's 1533-position model. The record is from RNAcentral.
CGGGUCUUGUACACACUGCCCGUCAAGCCAUGGAAGUUGUUUCUACCUGAAUAGGGUGAGGCUAACCGCAAGGAGGUAGCCUACACGGUAAAAUAGUGACUGGGGUU